RNAcentral lists this transfer RNA (77 nucleotides) under Anaerolineae bacterium. Its description in RNAcentral is "tRNA-Asp". It matches the Rfam family "tRNA". From Rfam's summary of the family: Transfer RNA (tRNA) molecules are approximately 80 nucleotides in length. Their secondary structure includes four short double-helical elements and three loops (D, anti-codon, and T loops). Further hydrogen bonds mediate the characteristic L-shaped molecular structure. tRNAs have two regions of fundamental functional importance: the anti-codon, which is responsible for specific mRNA codon recognition, and the 3' end, to which the tRNAs corresponding amino acid is attached (by aminoacyl-tRNA synthetases). tRNAs cope with the degeneracy of the genetic code in two manners: having more than one tRNA (with a specific anti-codon) for a particular amino acid; and 'wobble' base-pairing, i.e. permitting non-standard base-pairing at the 3rd anti-codon position. Lineage: Bacteria; Bacillati; Chloroflexota; Anaerolineae. RNAcentral also lists the same sequence under 1 other name. The record is from RNAcentral.
GGGCCCGUGGUGUAGAUGGAUAACAUAUCGGCCUGUCAAGCCGAAGAUCGCGGGUUCGAGUCCCGUCGGGCCCGCCA